Molecule: ribosomal RNA, 498 nt
Filed under: uncultured bacterium
Lineage: Bacteria
Description: partial 16S ribosomal RNA
Rfam family: Bacterial small subunit ribosomal RNA
Source: RNAcentral
GGAUGAACGCUGGCGGCGUGCCUAAUACAUGCAAGUCGAGCGAACAGAUGAGGAGCUUGCUCCUCUGACGUUAGCGGCGGACGGGUGAGUAACACGUGGAUAACCUACCUAUAAGACUGGGAUAACUUCGGGAAACCGGAGCUAAUACCGGAUAAUAUAUUGAACCGCAUGGUUCAAUAGUGAAAGACGGUUUUGCUGUCACUUAUGGAUGGAUCCGCGCCGCAUUAGCUAGUUGGUAAGGUAACGGCUUACCAAGGCAACGAUGCGUAGCCGACCUGAGAGGGUGAUCGGCCACACUGGAACUGAGACACGGUCCAGACUCCUACGGGAGGCAGCAGUAGGGAAUCUUCCGCAAUGGGCGAAAGCCUGACGGAGCAACGCCGCGUGAGUGAUGAAGGUCUUCGGAUCGUAAAACUCUGUUAUUAGGGAAGAACAAAUGUGUAAGUAACUAUGCACGUCUUGACGGUACCUAAUCAGAAAGCCACGGCUAACUACGUG